CCAGCCUUCUUCUGAAAGGGGAUCCACCUACAGAAAACAGUCCACCAGUCACCAGUCUCUCAAGGACUUACAGGCCCAGCUCUCUCCAGAAGGGCCCUCGCCUUCUGGACAAAAACAGGGCUAACCUACAGCGUCUAGUAACGGAGUAAGAACAGGCAGACAUGCCAGCUGAUCACCUCCAACCUGGUGCUGGAGAAGAAGGGGCAGGGCAGGGUGGCCUUGCUGAGCUGGGCCUCCUCUGGGUUCCUAGAGUAUUUUUACCUGAAGGCAGCCAGGUACUCAGGAUCCCCUAUGGGGGGUUCCAGGCCUCCAGCCCAGGCCACGUUGACAUUGAAGCCCUCACCACUGCCAGCCCCCACCUGGGAAACAGGACAAGAGAGACAUGAGGAGAGCAGAGGCCCAGAAGAGGAAUCUCAGGAUGCUGGUGCUGCAGGAAGAGCUCAUCAAGACUCUUCACUUCCAGAUGGGGAAACUGAGGAAUGGAGAGGUUAAGCAAUCUGCCCAGGAUCACAUAGCUCCCAUGGCAGGGACAGGGCAAGGGCAGGAGGAGAGUCCUGAUGUGUGUUUACCUCUUCUACAGCCCCACUGCCUGGGAAGAAGUUGCCGUCAUCGUGGCGAUGCAGGGAGAUGUAGAGUACACUGGGAUCCUGAUAGAAGGUUUUCUGGGUGCCAUUGCCAUGGUGAACAUCCUGUGCAGGGUGGUGGAGAUUAGGGAAGGUCCAAAAGCAGAGAAAUGGAGGCCAGGAUGUGUUGGAAGGAUUUCAAGGUUGGUGACCAUUCUGAAGGUCAGAAACCUAGACCGGAGGUUAGGAAACUAGGGUUCCUAGAGCUACAUGGUUGAGUAGCCCCAAUUACUCUAUGGAACCUUAUCUCUCCAUGUGGAAAGACAUUCUCUAUGUAUACAUAUAUAUGAGUAAUAUAUAAAUCAUUUCUCUCUACCUA
Molecule: long non-coding RNA, 942 nt
Organism: Marmota flaviventris (yellow-bellied marmot)
Lineage: Eukaryota; Metazoa; Chordata; Mammalia; Rodentia; Sciuridae
Source: RefSeq, a predicted model, not a curated record